GCCGGGGUGCCCGAGCGGUCCAAGGGGGUGGGCUCGAGACCUCCAGCUAACAGUGAGUGACCCACUGCCUCCCUGAGGCACACGGGUUCGAAUCCCGUCCCCGGCG
Molecule: transfer RNA, 106 nt
Filed under: Sulfolobales archaeon HS-7
Lineage: Archaea; Thermoproteati; Thermoproteota; Thermoprotei; Sulfolobales
Description: tRNA-Ser
Rfam family: tRNA
About the family: Transfer RNA (tRNA) molecules are approximately 80 nucleotides in length. Their secondary structure includes four short double-helical elements and three loops (D, anti-codon, and T loops). Further hydrogen bonds mediate the characteristic L-shaped molecular structure. tRNAs have two regions of fundamental functional importance: the anti-codon, which is responsible for specific mRNA codon recognition, and the 3' end, to which the tRNAs corresponding amino acid is attached (by aminoacyl-tRNA synthetases). tRNAs cope with the degeneracy of the genetic code in two manners: having more than one tRNA (with a specific anti-codon) for a particular amino acid; and 'wobble' base-pairing, i.e. permitting non-standard base-pairing at the 3rd anti-codon position.
Source: RNAcentral